GGCCCUGGCGGUGGCAGUGCAGCUGCUGAUUGACAUUUCUGGAAGGUUCAGUGGCGGUGGAGGCUCGGUGCUACAGUUACAUCUCGCAACGGAUCAGGCUCGCUCCUAGAUUCAGAACCCGAUCCUGUCCUGAUCAAACAAAACCACAAUCCACAUGAGACACAGUGAGAAUACUACAGGAAUUUGAGCAUGCAGCAAAAUCUCAGCAAAAUAAGAAACAGAACCGAGGCAUCUGACACUGAUCACAGAAAACUACCACAAACUUGCAUACGUUGAAGAGGUUCUGAAUUCCAACCCAUGUUGCAGAAGAACUCUCACAGCAAAGGAAUCCUCACACAGAGCAGUGAAGAGAAUCAGCGCAGAAGUCACAUACCCUUUUUACGGCACUAGAUCCCAUAAGAGCCUUCCUGUGUAGAGUAACAGCCUGUGGACAUGUAUGACAAUGAUUCCUUAGAAGAAUGCAAUCCUUUUGAGUGUAUGCCAUCAUAGGAUGUAUAACCAUGCACCAAAUACUUGCACUUUGGUGGGUCCAAUGGUUAGUUGAGUUUUUACCUGGUGAAUCGCAACUCACAAGUGAGCACAAGCAAACUCUGGUCAUCAUUGAGAAGGAGAACGAUAAAGAUAAAGCAGAAACAUUACAAAGUAAUGGUAGAAAUGCCAUGCACACUAACCACAGCAGCAGAGAGGAUAGGUGAGUCCAGCUCUAAUAUUAGUGGAUUGCUGUCAAGGGUGAUUGCAAAUAUCUGGCAUGGAGAGAGUGGCCGCUUUGGAAGACUUCAGAUAUGGCUGUCAAAUGGGUCUACACAGGCCAUGUUCCCGGGAGUGCAGGCGAUGUCAGCUGCCCUGAAUGGGAUUGCAGAUUUCUUAAUCCAUGACCUUACAAUGUGUCACUGAUGUAAACCAAGCUCGUCCUCAACAAAGCAAUAGGAGUGAUGUUCUGCUAGCCCAGGAGAGGGGUGAUGGUCUAAAAGACCAUGGAAGUAGAAACUCCACUCAAAGUUCUCCCUCUUCUCACCCAUUGCCAACCCCAUCUUCAGCCAGCACCCGAUAUGCUGCCUCAUCUCCUGAUGGCUGAGUCUUCCUCUGUAGACGUGUAGGUGACAGAGUGACAGAGGAAAAGCUAUUGCAAUUGACCAAGGGUAUUCACAGCUGUUUUUUGUAAAGCAGUACAGCACAGUGGCAGCUAGUAUAAUCAAAAGUAUGAACGUAUGCAACAAAAGAACAGA
Molecule: long non-coding RNA, 1226 nt
Organism: Carcharodon carcharias (great white shark)
Lineage: Eukaryota; Metazoa; Chordata; Chondrichthyes; Lamniformes; Lamnidae
Exons: 5
Source: RefSeq, a predicted model, not a curated record